AGAAAUUCAACCAAGCGCGGGUA
RNAcentral lists this small nuclear RNA (23 nucleotides) under Arabidopsis thaliana (thale cress). RNAcentral describes it as "snRNA_07478". The record is from RNAcentral. Lineage: Eukaryota; Viridiplantae; Streptophyta; Magnoliopsida; Brassicales; Brassicaceae.